GCUUUCUUUGUAUAAUAAAUGUAUCAUCACUACAUGUCCAAAUUGUAAAGCUAUCCACUCUCCUGUGUAUUAAGGGAAUAGGGACAAAAGAUUCUGGAUGGAUUGUAACCAGUAGGUUAUCUUGAGACUCUCCUGGGGACAGAUGAGCAUGAUCUUGAACCAGACUAACUGAACUAGACUCACUCAUCUGUCGCUGAGAUUACAAAAUGCAGCCUAUGAUACAAGGAUUCCACCAGGACAGUAGAUCUGACAGAAGAAGGCAGUCUGUUUUCAUUUCAUUAAAUUCUGCAUUGGAGAAUGGACUAGGCAACCAGCUGUUAAUAUGCAAAGACCAGGGAGAAACAAGUCAGCAUUCCAGAAGCAGAGAGGAAGAUAGCAGAUGCAAAGGGUCUGGAGUCUUGGACCUGGAGAUUGGCCAGAAGCAAGAGACACUAACAGUGCCUGUAUUUGGAAAGAUUUGCUUUAAAGACCCAGAGCUGCCUGGUUCUUGAAGGAGCUUGACAAGUCAGCUCUGAUAGUGAUAACAAAGUCUACUCCCAAAACAACAUCUCUUUUCCCUGGAGAGCAAUCUGACACACAGAAUUAUUG
RNAcentral lists this long non-coding RNA (588 nucleotides) under Phascolarctos cinereus (koala). Its description in RNAcentral is "lncRNA (ENSPCIG00000024547.2)". The record is from RNAcentral. Lineage: Eukaryota; Metazoa; Chordata; Mammalia; Diprotodontia; Phascolarctidae.